RNAcentral lists this long non-coding RNA (205 nucleotides) under Lathyrus oleraceus (garden pea). RNAcentral describes it as "Pisum sativum (pea) long non-coding RNA (PSAT_LNC036696)". The record is from RNAcentral. Lineage: Eukaryota; Viridiplantae; Streptophyta; Magnoliopsida; Fabales; Fabaceae.
GUGAACUAUAGUUAAAAUCCAUUUAGUAAGAUAAAAAAAAGAGCUUUUCAUUUUUCAACUCAUAUUACUCAAAACAAUUUUUUUGGGUAAUUCUCUUUUAGUUUUUAGUUUUUAGUUUUUUAAAUUAAUUUUUAGCUUUUUUUUAAAGCUAGCUUUUAAGUUUGUCAUUUUUAACUUUUAAUUUUUUCUUCCAUUUAUAUUUUUA